RNAcentral lists this unclassified non-coding RNA (286 nucleotides) under Hevea brasiliensis (rubber tree). The record is from RNAcentral. Lineage: Eukaryota; Viridiplantae; Streptophyta; Magnoliopsida; Malpighiales; Euphorbiaceae.
ACCAUUCUUCACUCUUCGACACCAGUUGAUCUUGUUUUAGACUUGCUUUUAUCCAAAUAUUUCAAGUACAUUGAUGUCCGUUAUUUUACCCACAUUAGCCUUGCAAAACUUGCAAAAACUUUGGAGUCAAAGGACAACCCUGAUGACAAGACUAAGACUGCUGAUGGAGAUGAUGAAAGUCAUUCUAGGGCCAGCAUGGAUCUCUGUAUUCACAAGAUACAUUAUAUUAUGUCACACGUUCCCCCACUAGAAGUUGCAAAAGAGAAUUCUGAUUAUGAGAUGUGGA